UUUUUUUUUUUUUUUUUCUUUUUUUCUUUUUCCUGAGAUGUGUUUUCUAUUCCUUAUGCUGUUUUACAGUGGUAGUGAAUGCACAAAUGCUGCAAAGCACCUGGGGAAAAAUCCUCACCUGCAGCAUGUGCAGCUCCUAUACCCUGCCUGGCAUAAAACUAGAGGCAAGCUGAGGCAGAGGAAAUAAAGAAAAUCAUGUAUUUCACAGGAGAAGGCAGUUUGCUGCAACAGAUCUAUCUCAUUAGUGCUGUGAUGACAUUAGAUGCCAGGAUAUUCCAUUUUAACUAGAUCAUAAAUUUGACUUUGCCUAAAGGAUACAUCAUCAGUGAUGUCUGUGUUCCAGUAGCUUCCUUAGGGUUUGCAGUCUCAGCUUGGGCCUCCCUCCUCCCAAGACAGGUUUUAUCCAGAACUGGGAACUUGGUGCUCCUGUAAAUUAAGACUGGAGUGAAAAGCUGGAUUCUUGUUGCCUCCCUCCUGUUGACAAAUGUUCUUUCUUUUAAUCUAGCUAGCUGACAAGGAAAUGAAUUAAACAUUAGCUGAAUUGGUGAACUAAGUGUUGAAAUCCUUUCCUUGUGAAAGGAAAAAGCAUUUCACCUGGCAGGUGUUUAACAGCUAUUCAGUAGGUCAAGACUGAAGGAAAAUGGGAUAAUUUUGUUUUAUUAAAAAUGGAAGAAACCAGCAAAAUUUUUCUUUAGCAUAUUUUCUGUAGCAAUUUCUUUCCUAAUAAAAAGAUCAUCCUCCAACUGCAGCAAUCACAAAUGUAAUUUUACACUCUUUGGGGGGAAAAGCAGACAGGCAGAGACAGAGAAAUAAGUAGUGGAAGUAAUUAAUCAAUUUAAGGAGAAGUGAUAUGGCAAACUGCUGCAUACUGGUAGCUACAAAGCUAUUAAUAAAAUUCUUGAGUGUUUAUCAAAAUGUUAUGUUAUUAAGCAAGUCCCAUGGUAACACUACUGCUUUAAAUGCACACCUGCUUGUAUAGCUCCCUCCCAGGGUGGAAGUGAGGUUUAUAGUGGGGAUUUGCCUCUUGAGUGGCAUCUCAACACUUCUAAAAAUCAAAAAUAUGAUUAAUUUCAGCUGAUUGAUACUAUAAGGUGCCCGCUUCACAAGAUAGGUAAUAAGUACAGCAUAAAUAUAAGUAAAGCAUAUAUGGCAUUACUCUCACAAGCCAAACUAAUCUUCAUUAAAAAAAUCCUGUACAUGCGGAUUGUUUUUUACUAGCUGUAAAAAUUCUGUCAUUAAUUUACUUUUUUUUUUUUUCCAUAUCUUUGAGGAAAAAGUGUGCUGAAGGGCAAAAAUUGAAAUGGUGAGGUUAGGAAGAGGAAGCUGAAGAUGCCAAGGUCUCAGUUAUUACAAAAUCCUUUACUUUCCUAUAAGCACAGCUGGAUGAUUUUAGGAUCAUAGAUACAGCAUAAAAAAAAAAAUACAACUGCAGUGGCCACUUUCACAGUAAUGAGUUCAGAGCUCCUUUUUUAAUCCGUGGGAUGCUUUACUGGGGAGUUCCUCACCGUACUUGCCUGCUCACAGUUCAGUGGGGCUCUUUUGGGUUUGUUUUGUUCUCUCCUCACUUUGGCAGGUUUGAUUUUUCCAGCUUGUGCCAGCCCCUUCUGAUCCAGGAAAUCCCAAGAGACGGAAGUUACACUUGGAGCAGGGGAUAAUUUUUACUCCAUAACAAUCCUGGAUAAUAUAAAGGGAAUUUUUUGAAGCAGAUCCCAUCAGAGUAUGAGGCUGUGUGAGUUAAAGCUGUGGCA
RNAcentral lists this long non-coding RNA (1748 nucleotides) under Taeniopygia guttata (zebra finch). RNAcentral's name for it is "lncRNA (ENSTGUG00000024883.1)". The record is from RNAcentral. Lineage: Eukaryota; Metazoa; Chordata; Aves; Passeriformes; Estrildidae.